RNAcentral lists this transfer RNA (72 nucleotides) under Hydnomerulius pinastri MD-312. RNAcentral's name for it is "tRNA-Trp (CCA) (tRNA-Trp-CCA-2-1)". It matches the Rfam family "tRNA". From Rfam's summary of the family: Transfer RNA (tRNA) molecules are approximately 80 nucleotides in length. Their secondary structure includes four short double-helical elements and three loops (D, anti-codon, and T loops). The record is from RNAcentral. Lineage: Eukaryota; Fungi; Basidiomycota; Agaricomycetes; Boletales.
GAACCCGUGGCGCAGUGGUAGCGCGUGUGAUUCCAGUCCACAAGGUCAUCCGUUCAAUCCGGGUCGGGUUCA